GUCUGUGAAGACAAAAGGUCAGAACCAGAGAGCAGAGUCUCCAGGACCCAGCGGUCUAUCUGUGAAGAGUGACCAGUCUAUGGACAAACCUUUAACCUUCAGUCAUGAACCUGGAGCCUCAGAGACAAACCGGACAUGAGAGCUUCAGCACAGGAAUGAUAAUAGAACGCUUCCAUAGCUCUGGAACAACAGGAUUCUCUGUCAGUUUUUCAGAUUGCACAGAAAGCAUCAUGAAGUUCAGGAGAGCAGUUUUUUAGCACAGAGGCUGAGAAACCAUCAGGUCCUGUAGAUUUCUGACUACCGUCAUGUCUAAAUGCUGACUGUACCUGUAGAGCAGGGCCGUCACACUCUAAUGACCUGGGGGCCAACGAGCGUCUAUUCUGGUCAAGAGGGGGCCGGACUACGGAACAUAGAGUCGUCAAAAAACAAGUGUUCAGUAGCACGAGCUUCAAGUUAAAACACAAUCUUGCAUCAUGAUAUCACACGUAUACUUUGUGAUACUGUUUAUGAUGCAAAAUCAAUCUGUUCAUAUCAAAUACACAUUUAUUUCAAAUGACGCAAAUAAUAAUGUGGAUGUCGGCAGAGCAAGGUCAUACAGCGGCGACACGUGGCGAACCCAGAUCAGCACAAACUUAAAGGAAAAGAAAGAAGACGCUCUUCUCCAUCACUCUGCUCCACGCUCAUGAACUGCAAUCAGACGCAGCUUUGAUUGAACAUGCUCAGUAUCACAGGUGGCUCGUCACUUUCACACAUGAAGUUUGCCCAACAUCAAUAAACAAUCAAUACAAAUAAACAAAGAAUAACUGAG
Long non-coding RNA from Solea senegalensis (Senegalese sole), 808 nucleotides. RefSeq lists it as uncharacterized. NCBI's taxonomy places the organism in Eukaryota, Metazoa, Chordata, Actinopteri, Pleuronectiformes, Soleidae. The transcript has 3 exons. The record is from RefSeq and is a predicted model, not a curated record.